This 741-nucleotide unclassified non-coding RNA is filed under the name Hevea brasiliensis (rubber tree). The record is from RNAcentral. Lineage: Eukaryota; Viridiplantae; Streptophyta; Magnoliopsida; Malpighiales; Euphorbiaceae.
AAAUUUCUGAUUUUGGAUUGGCAAGAACAUUUGGAAGAGAACAAAGUCCGACAAACACAAAUAGAGUUGUUGGGACAUAUGGUUAUAUGCCACCUGAGUAUGCCAUUGAUGGUCUCUUCUCAGUAAAAUCCGAUGUUUUUAGUUUUGGUGUUAUAAUUUUAGAAAUAGUCAGUGGAAAGAGAAAUCGAGGAUUUUCCCUUGGAGGUCUUGGUCACAACCUUCUUGGAUAUGCAUGGAGGCUGUGGGUGAAAGGGAGGCCUUUAGAACUAAUUGAUAAAUCAUUAUAUGACUCGUGCGGUCCAUCUCAGGUUCUACGAUGCAUCCAGGUGGGCUUGUUAUGUGUGCAACAGCUGCCAGAGGACAGGCCGAAUAUGUCAACUGUGGUUUUAAUGUUGGUAAGUGACACUUUUCUGCCUCAGCCAAAGCAGCCUGGUUUUUACACUGAGAGAAAUCCAUAUGAAGCAGAAUCUUCGUCGAGGAAAGAAAGCAAUUAUUCAGGAAAUGAAAUCACCACUACCAUAAUAGAUCCUAGAUAGAAAUUGAAAUCUCCAUUUUAUUUUCCCCCUUUUAUCCAUGCUGUUCCUUUUUGAUUUUAAACAUAUUUAUAAAUACAAGUAUUUAUGCAAUGUAUUUUUAGUGUUUACUUCUGAUAUUUCAUCUGUUUUUUUCUAAACGAAAUAUUAAUAGAAGGCCUUGGUAUUGUCCACGGAGAAAAUAGUGAGAGAAACAUAAAGUUUAUAC